UGGAAAACAACGUUAUUGUAAAGCUAACAGUAUAUUGCAGAUGUUCACAACGUUGGAUCAGACGUCUUUAUUUUUGCAUAUUUUUUUAUAUGGAUAAGAGGAAAGCAAGGUGAAUGCUAUGGGAGAAUUAUAAGUCUUGAGACAUCAGGCUUUUAACCCUUUCAUGGAAAACUCACGUGAAUGAAGUGAAACAGGAGAGACUUCCCUAAACCAGAGAAGCUAAAGAAGGGCAGAGGGAUGACUGGAGGAUUAGAAGAUAAGUCUCAGCCUCUGUGGAAAUGACACGGUUAAGUGAACUAAUUGAUACUGAUAUUCUUUUAUUGUUCCAGUAAACGACAGACUGACAAAUCCUGCCCAAACAGCAAACCCACAUAGUAUAGUCAUAAGAUCUUUGUCAGAGUUAAGGGGCAGAUCUGCACCAAAGAUGACCUGACCAAACAAUGAAAACCCAGAGUGACUCAUCGCACUGUGUAUUUGUGAGCCUUGAGCUGACUCACUAGCAGCUUUUGAAAUAUAUAUUAGAUAGAAAAUGUCUCUUAUUAAGUUGUAGUAUCCAAUCUCUGUAUCAGAGCUGUGUAGGUGAUUCUGCUGUUCUCCUUUUGUACUUGGAAUGCUGCACAUACCGCGAAUGAAUCCUCUCCACAGCCAGUGAACACUAAGCUAAGAAAUUGGGACCUAAUUGUGGGAGUUGCUGAGCACCUCUCUUAAGAGUCCUCUCUAAUCUUACUAAUAUCAAGGCCUUGGAGAACUGGGCUGUUGGAGGGCUUAGGACUAUUUAUAUUUUGGAAUGAAUCAUCCUAUUUGUUUCCUACUGCAAUCAUCUAUAAAGAAAUGUGAUCACAGUCAUCUCCUUGACCUUGCCCCUUAAAUGCAUUCAGUGAUUUACCAUUCAGCAGUGGUGUUGGCUUCAGGCAAUUUGAAUGCCAGACCUUUCAUCCACUGCACACUGCAGCUAGAUGACUACAGCUUCAUAGGACAGAAGAUUUUUUAAAUUACAAUACUGGCUUUCACAUAUAGCUAUUUCAUUUACAAUGACAAUGGUAAAUUCUCUGGCUAGUGUCAGACAUCCAUGUGAAUCAGACAGAGGUUGAAAGAGAAAUGUUCUUGUCUGAUUUGGUUUUUUGUAGGUAAGUGUAUUUGUGAUGACAGUGUGAAUCAUUGUAAAGAAGCUAUUUUUAUAGAAUAAAAAGCUGAAAUGCAUGUGCAAUUAUGCUUGAAUUAACAGCUCUGGUGUUUAAAAGCAGCCUCUUUCAUUUUAUCCAAUGACCGCUGACUUCAAACUACUAUUUGAGGCAGAAAUGUCCAAAUCAAAUGAUGCAGAAUGUGAACUGAAUAUUACUUAACCAGCUCAUAGGUCAGAUGCAACUAAAACCAUCAAAAUGUUUUUAAAGUCUUGAUAUUACACAA
Molecule: long non-coding RNA, 1407 nt
Organism: Alligator sinensis (Chinese alligator)
Lineage: Eukaryota; Metazoa; Chordata; Crocodylia; Alligatoridae
Exons: 3
Source: RefSeq, a predicted model, not a curated record